GUGGGGAAUAUUGGACAAUGGGCGAAAGCCUGAUCCAGCCAUGCCGCGUGUGUGAAGAAGGUCUUCGGAUUGUAAAGCACUUUAAGUUGGGAGGAAGGGCAGUAAGUUAAUACCUUGCUGUUUUGACGUUACCGACAGAAUAAGCACCGUCUAACUUCGUGCCAGCAGCCGCGGUAAUACGAAGGGUGCAAGCGUUAAUCGGAAUUACUGGGCGUAAAGCGCGCGUAGGUGGUUUUGUAAGUUGGAGGUGAAAUCCCCGGGCUCAACCUGGGAACUGCCUCCAAAACUGCAUGACUAGAGUACGGUAGAGGGUAGUGGAAUUUCCUGUGUAGCGGUGAAAUGCGUAGAUAUAGGAAGGAACACCAGUGGCGAAGGCGACUACCUGGACUGAUACUGACACUGAGGUGCGAAAGCGUGGGGAGCAAACAGGAUUAGAAACCCUGGUAGUCC
This 450-nucleotide ribosomal RNA is filed under the name uncultured bacterium. RNAcentral's name for it is "partial 16S ribosomal RNA". It matches the Rfam family "Bacterial small subunit ribosomal RNA", at positions 354 to 796 of the family's 1533-position model. The record is from RNAcentral.